Long non-coding RNA from Harpia harpyja (harpy eagle), 1121 nucleotides. RefSeq lists it as uncharacterized. The record is from RefSeq and is a predicted model, not a curated record. Lineage: Eukaryota; Metazoa; Chordata; Aves; Accipitriformes; Accipitridae. The transcript has 2 exons.
GUAGCAAGUCAAAGAAUGAGUCACCUCACAAGGGGGAAAAGGAAAGAAAGCUUUUAUCUCCCAGUGGAUUGGAGAUAAUCUCUCUACCUGCGUAUAAACAGCUCUUCACCAUGCCGCCUUUUCUCCAGGGGAAGGAAGCUGUUUUAAAUUUGUCUGUAAAACAGAUACUAAAUUGUCACACCUCCCAAGCCUCUCUGCCUGGGCCCAAUAAAGGUAGCAGGCAAAAGGUCUUUGACUUUCAUGGUAACUUGAUUGGGCCCCUGUGAGUAAACACAGUAGUCUAGGCUGUAUAUGCUGUACGAGCUGGCUGGGAGAAAGGGAUUGCCAGAUUCUCCUUGGAGGCCUGGAAAAUCUGUGCCCAAACCAAACAUACCUGCUAUUUUACUGUAAAAUGGCAUACACCCUUAUGUGGACAGAGUUACAUUGGUAAUGUUCUAUCGCUAUACAGAAAACACAAGCUAAAGCAGUGCUAAAGGUGCCACAGCCUCAGUGCUUAUUUUCCUCUCCAGCGUGGGAAUAACAUCUGCUAGUGUAACGGCAUCUGCAGGAGUGGUAGGCCAGUCUGAAUACACCUUUCUCAACCAUAUCUGCACUGAUAACCACUUACAGACACGCUGCUAUGGAGGCUGUGUUAAGCAGCCCUUCUUUACAGACCCCAGCCACCUAGAGGGAAGUAAGGCCAUAGGUCUUCUGCAUCUGACUACUUUUCAUUAUUCUUGAUCGGUGAUCACUUUACAAGGGGCAUGAAGAGAGACCACACCUCUCUUCUAUGAAAGGAUACGCACCGAAGAUGGAUGGGGCCAAGGACUUUGCCUCAUGCCUGCUCUGCACCUCAGAAGGAGCAGCUGGAGGAAAAUCCCAUUUCCCACUUUUUUCAGUAUGCUGAGGCAGUUCUUGUUUCUCAACAUGUCACAGAUAAACCAAGGUGCCUAAACUAAUGAAGUAUUUCACAGUCCAGUGCUUAGAGUAAUUCUGCGUCAACAUGACAUUCCUCUACUACACCUUCCCUUGAGACUUUGCACAUGAUGGUGUGGGGAGAAAGGGGGAUUCACUGAUGUUUGCCUAUAUUCUCAUGCCUUGUCUCAAUUUGGUAACACAAUCGUGGUCUCUUCCUGCCACAG